AUAUCAAUAAGCGGAGGAGAAAAAACUAACAAGGAUUCCCCUAGUAACGGCGAGUGAAGCGGGAUGAGCUCAAAUUUGAAAGCUGGCACCUUCGGUGUCCGCAUUGUAAUCUCGAGAAGUAGUUUCUGUGUUGGGCCAUGUACAAGUUCCUUGGAAUAGGACAUCAGAGAGGGUGAGAAUCCCGUACUUGACAUGGACCCCAAUGCUUUGUGAUCUGCUCUCUAUGAGUCGAGUUGUUUGGGAAUGCAGCUCAAAAUGGGUGGUAAAUUCCAUCUAAAGCUAAAUAUUGGGGAGAGACCGAUAGCGAACAAGUACCGUGAGGGAAAGAUGAAAAGCACUUUGGAAAGAGAGUUAAACAGUACGUGAAAUUGUCAAAAGGGAAGCGCUUGAGGUUAGCUAUGCAUGCAGUAUUCAGCCUUUCUUUUGAUGGGUGUAUUUGCUGUUUUGCAGGCCAGCAUCGGUUUUGUCUGCUGGAUAAUGGUAAGGAGAAUGUGGCAUCCUCGGAUGUGUUAUAGCUUCUUACUUGAUACAGUGGAUGGGACCGAGGACCGCAGUGUGCCGUAUGGCGGCUCUUCGGAGACCUUCGCACUUAGGAUGCUGGCGUAAUGGCCUUAAGCGGCCCGUCUUGAAACACGGACCA
This 640-nucleotide ribosomal RNA is filed under the name Tilletia sp. ML-2012. Its description in RNAcentral is "LSU rRNA". It matches the Rfam family "Eukaryotic large subunit ribosomal RNA", at positions 40 to 668 of the family's 3401-position model. Lineage: Eukaryota; Fungi; Basidiomycota; Exobasidiomycetes; Tilletiales; Tilletiaceae. The record is from RNAcentral.